RNAcentral lists this ribosomal RNA (254 nucleotides) under uncultured bacterium. RNAcentral's name for it is "partial 16S ribosomal RNA". It matches the Rfam family "Bacterial small subunit ribosomal RNA", at positions 524 to 777 of the family's 1533-position model. The record is from RNAcentral.
UACGGAGGGUGCAAACGUUGCUCGGAAUCAUUGGGCGUAAAGCGCACGUAGGCGGCUCGUUAAGUCGGAUGUGAAAGCCCCGGGCUCAACCCGGGAAGUGCAUUCGAAACUGGCGAGCUUGAAUAUGGAAGAGGGUCGCGGAAUUCCCGGUGUAGAGGUGAAAUUCGUAGAUAUCGGGAGGAACACCAGUGGCGAAGGCGGCGACCUGGGCCAAUAUUGACGCUGAGGUGCGAAAGCGUGGGGAGCAAACAGGG